RNAcentral lists this ribosomal RNA (496 nucleotides) under uncultured bacterium. RNAcentral's name for it is "partial 16S ribosomal RNA". It matches the Rfam family "Bacterial small subunit ribosomal RNA", at positions 29 to 507 of the family's 1533-position model. The record is from RNAcentral.
AUGAACGCUGGCGGCGUGCCUAAUACCUGCAAGUCGAGCGCACAGACGAGGAGCUUGCUCCUCUGACGUUAGCGGCGGACGGGUGAGUAACACGUGGAUAACCUACCUAUAAGACUGGGAUAACUUCGGGAAACCGGAGCUAAUACCGGAUAAUAUAUUGAACCGCAUGGUUCAAUAGUGAAAGACGGUUUUGCUGUCACUUAUAGAUGGAUCCGCGCCGCAUUAGCUAGUUGGUAAGGUAACGGCUUACCAAGGCAACGAUGCGUAGCCGACCUGAGAGGGUGAUCGGCCACACUGGAACUGAGACACGGUCCAGACUCCUACGGGAGGCAGCAGUAGGGAAUCUUCCGCAAUGGGCGAAAGCCUGACGGAGCAACGCCGCGUGAGUGAUGAAGGUCUUCGGAUCGUCAAACUCUGUUAUUAGGGAAGAACAAAUGUGUAAGUAACUAUGCACGUCUUGACGGUACCUAAUCAGAAAGCCACGGCUAACUACGUG